RNAcentral lists this long non-coding RNA (960 nucleotides) under Marmota monax (woodchuck). Lineage: Eukaryota; Metazoa; Chordata; Mammalia; Rodentia; Sciuridae. The record is from RNAcentral.
CUUGAAAGAAAGAAAGGAAGAAAGAAAGAAAUUUAACUACUUUAUAUUAAAGAAGUGUCUAUUUUCUCUAUCUUCAGAUUUUUGAAAUUUUACUUGUUUAUCAUUAUUUGAAUACAAAAGAAGUAUCUGCUCAUUAAAAAUGUAAGUAACACAGAAAAGACACUGUAAGACACAGAACAGGAAAUUUCUCACAAUUCCAUCCUCCUGAGAUGACCACUGUCGAAAACUACCUGGUGUUGAUUUUAAAUACCACCAUUUACAAAGUUACUCCUGCAAAAGAGAAAUGUAAAAUAUUAAUAACAGAAUACAGAAGUAAAGAUUUUCUGGAAAACUGACCACUGCAAGUUAAAGAAACCGAUUAUGAUCAUAGACUAAGGAAGGAAUCGAACCCCUUGCGGGCUUAUUUAAGGAAUGCUUUCUUGGAGUCCUUAUGUCAAGAUGACUUGAAGGUACAGCUUCUGGGCCACUGGGAGUUGACUGAAAGUGUGUGAUGUCAAAGAUGUCCCUUUCCUUAACUAGCUUGGAGACUGCUGCCAAGACAGAGGGGUGGGCUGAUCCAGAAUAAAGAUUUGGCCAGCUGAGAACCUGUUACCAUGGUGACUUGACUCAUCAUCUAUCAAUCAGCUUGACUGGAGCCUACCUUCCUGUAGCCAGAAUGAACUAUUUUUAAAACCUCAUGUCUAUUUUUGAAGAACCAUCUGUUAAAUUUGUGCUUUGUCCAACUCUAGGAAUGUAAAAAUUCAUUCAUAGCCAGACUUCUUUGCUUCAAAUUUAUUUCUUUCCAUGAACAAAAUUCUUUUGCUUGAAACUACAUUUGAUCCAGAUCAGAAAACACUGACACCUGUUUAUGCCACAAGCAGAGGUGAGAAUGGCAUUGUUUGGCCACCAAGAAGCUUGUAGUCAAAAGAUAUGAACAUAAGUAAUGAUAGUCAGAGCUGAAUAUAAUAAAUUCCUCCAAAG